GGGUGCUUGGUAUACUAGGGCCCAGAUUCAUUGAGGCAUUAAGAACUCGUGUUUUGGAGAGAGUAAUAUCUGAGGGAGGUGUGAGGGUCACCUUUCAAUCAGGACUAUAUUGAUUAGAAUGCCUCAUAGUUGAUGUGAUAAGCCAGAACUUGGAGAAUCUAAUCCAGAAUAAUAUAACCCGAAUAUUUAAUAGAGUAUUCGCCAUGUAUGGAAUGAUCAUCUCAUAGGAUAUGAGCCCAUAUCCUGGCACGAAACCGUUCCAUGACAUAUGCAGCCACAGUCGUAUGGGGAAGCCACUAUUCUAUAGUUUUAUCCGAUUUAAAAGAGAUAAUGCACAUGUACUUUGAGAGCACCUCUGUAAUAUAGUAGUAAUAUGUCCCACAGGGGUACACCUGUAAUUCAUUGAGAAGUAGGAUGGUGAGAAUCACUAGCUCAGUUAUUUUGAUGUGACCAAUUAUGUGUCCAUGUCAUAGACUUUGGAGCAUAGGUUCGUUGGGUCAACUUAAGACACGGUGAAACAUCAUUCGGGACUAGCUCAAUGGAGUACUUCAAUACCUAGAAUCAAUGCCUUGAGAUCUCACAUACUUUUUAAUGAUAAAUGAUGUUUAAAUAUGAUUUAAAUAUUUAUUGUAAUUGUUUGAGAAUUUUUUUUUAGGAAAAUAUCUCCUUAUCCCCUAUUUUUAACUUCCAUAUCUCAUGAGACCUAAGAAUUGAAGAUAUUACUUGUAAGUAAAAGGUCUAUGUUUUUUCUAUCUUACAAUCCCCAGGACCAUAAAUUUUUGACCUAAACAAAUACUAAAAUGACGCCUUAUUUA
RNAcentral lists this long non-coding RNA (815 nucleotides) under Amborella trichopoda. RNAcentral describes it as "long non-coding RNA (ATRI_LNC000256)". The record is from RNAcentral. Lineage: Eukaryota; Viridiplantae; Streptophyta; Magnoliopsida; Amborellales; Amborellaceae.